RNA transcript from Cryptomeria japonica (Japanese cedar), 1327 nucleotides. RefSeq lists it as uncharacterized. The transcript is spliced from 5 exons. Lineage: Eukaryota; Viridiplantae; Streptophyta; Pinopsida; Cupressales; Cupressaceae. The record is from RefSeq and is a predicted model, not a curated record.
CCCCACCGGAAUUGUCUCAUGCCGUGAAAACGUGGAUUUCCCGUUGCCGGCGUUUUCUUCCUGACAGGCUUUAUGGGACAGCUCAUGCAACGCGUGUUUGGGGUUUACAGUCCGUCUGUGGUGUAGAUUGGUGUGGCUUCCUGCAUGCCGGAUGGGUCUUCAUCCCGAGUUGUAUUGCUGGCAACGACUGCUUAAUCAUGUCUCACCACAGUUAAAAUUAUUGCUUUCCGUUGGUUAAUAUCCAAAGGGAUGCAACAAAGCGAGGGGCAAGGAAUGAGCCUGGUAGCUGCCAUGUUUUAGAUUGGUUUAAGCGGUGAACACCAACGUCUAUAUUCAAAAAUAGGGGCAAACGCUCUUCAAUGGAAUUCAAGAACAUACCCUCCCAAUAAUACUGCCCUGAUAUGGUACAGGACUGAGUUCAAUGCACCAAAAGGAAACAAUGCAGUGGCUUUGGACCUGAACACCAUGAGUAAAGGCCAAGCAUGGGUAAAUGGCCAUCAUAUUGGGCGCUAUUUUCCUUCAUUCAAGGCUCCUACAGAUGGGUGCUCCGAUACAUGUGAUUACAGAGGAACCUAUUCUCCAACCAACUGCGUCACGGUUGUGGAAAAUCAUCUCAAGAAUGGUACCAUGUCCCUCGCUCCUGGUUACACCCCACAAACAAUGUAUUAGUAUUACUUGAGGAAAUUGGUGGCGACCCAUCUGGAAUUGGUGGCGAGAAGAGCCCUGAACUUGAUGCUGUCAGCUGUUCUUCUCUCAUCAGUGGUCAGAUAAAGGGAAGUUCUCUGUUAAAACAAUUUCCUUAACAAAUCUGGCGCGAAGCAACCGCGAGGGUUAAUUGAAGCGUACGGAAUACAAGGCUAGAAAGACUUUUCCAGCAUUGCUCCAAAGAAGAUGCCCAGAACCCAAGGCAGGAGGAAGAGACCCAGACCCAGAUCUAGACGGAAGUACGGUGCCUUUUUUAAUCAGAAGCAGCUAUGCUCGCAACAGAUUGUAGACGGAAGUACGGUGCCUUUUUUAAUCAGAAGCAGCUAUGCUCGCAACAGAUUGUAGAGGCCGAAAUAGGGCAUUUCGAAAUAGUUUUGAAGAUAUUAAAUUUAAAUUAAGUUUGGUUUUUAUGUUGAGAGUCGUUUACAAUGAUAUCAAAAAUGUUCGCAAAAAUGUUCGUAAAAAAAAAAUUCAUUUUUGAAAUAAUUUGACAUACAAAAGAGGGUAAAUAUGUCAUGUUUCAGUUUCUGUGGAGGUAUUAUUUUAUUACUCCAAAUAAAAUAGAACCCUCGCCUCUUGUGUCCAACUAGAUUCACAUUUUUGCACGCAGGACUGUAAUGGA